This 426-nucleotide long non-coding RNA is filed under the name Felis catus (domestic cat). Its description in RNAcentral is "lncRNA (ENSFCAG00000045683.2)". Lineage: Eukaryota; Metazoa; Chordata; Mammalia; Carnivora; Felidae. The record is from RNAcentral.
ACAUCUGAUUCCUGCCUUUUCUUUCCUGUGCAGCCCUGACACUGCGAUGAUGAUACAGCUGGAAUAGAAGUCUUCUCACUCACCCUGGAGCAGGAAAUAAAAGCAGAGUCUCCUCUCCUCCCUGCCCGCCUUUCCCAGGGCCCUGGCCUCAAGGAACCACUGUGCCAGACCACCGUGGAGGACUUCUCACUUCUCAGGAAAAAGCCUCCUGACUCCAACAGAAGUAUUCGAAGCCCAUGGAAAACCUCACAAAUCCUAGAGAGAGUUAAAGAGGUGGUGAUAUUAAAGCAAACACUUUCCUGCUGUCCAAACAGACACGCCGUGGUUCUGAAUUCUGAUGGAAAGGAGGAACUUCAGACAGCGGCUGAGUGAGGUGACUUUCAUGCUCUGUUGCUGUCCCGCCAAAGGCACUUGAACCUUUCCAGG